Molecule: ribosomal RNA, 303 nt
Filed under: uncultured bacterium
Lineage: Bacteria
Description: partial 16S ribosomal RNA
Rfam family: Bacterial small subunit ribosomal RNA
Source: RNAcentral
AGCAGCAGCCACGGUAAUACGAAGGGUGCAAGCGUUACUCGGAAUUACUGGGCGUAAAGCGUGCGUAGGUGGUGGUUUAAGUCCGUUGUGAAAGCCCUGGGCUCAACCUGGGAAUUGCAGUGGAUACUGGGUCACUAGAGUGUGGUAGAGGAUAGUGGAAUUUCCGGUGUAGCAGUGAAAUGCGUAGAGAUCGGAAGGAACAUCUGUGGCGAAGGCGACUAUCUGGGCCAACACUGACACUGAGGCACGAAAGCGUGGGGAGCAAACAGGAUUAGAGACCCCCGUAGUCCCUGUCUCUUAUAA